GAUGAACGCUGGCGGCGUGCCUAAUACAUGCAAGUCGAGCGAACGGACGAGAAGCUUGCUUCUCUGAUGUUAGCGGCGGACGGGUGAGUAACACGUGGAUAACCUACCUAUAAGACUGGGAUAACUUCGGGAAACCGGAGCUAAUACCGGAUGAUAUUUUGAACCGCAUGGUUCAAAAGUGAAAGACGGUCUUGCUGUAACUUAUAGAUGGAUCCGCGCUGCAUUAGCUAGUUGGUAAGGUAACGGCUUACCAAGGCAACGAUGCAUAGCCGACCUGAGAGGGUGAUCGGCCACACUGGAACUGAGACACGGUCCAGACUCCUACGGGAGGCAGCAGUAGGGAAUCUUCCGCAAUGGGCGAAAGCCUGACGGAGCAACGCCGCAUGAGUGAUGAAGGUCUUCGGAUCGUAAAACUCUGUUAUUAGGGAAGAACAUAUGUGUAAGUAACUGUGCACAUCUUGACGGUACCUAAUCAGAAAGCCACGGCUAACUACGUG
RNAcentral lists this ribosomal RNA (497 nucleotides) under uncultured bacterium. Its description in RNAcentral is "partial 16S ribosomal RNA". It matches the Rfam family "Bacterial small subunit ribosomal RNA", at positions 28 to 507 of the family's 1533-position model. The record is from RNAcentral.